Molecule: transfer RNA, 75 nt
Filed under: Neomoorella thermoacetica
Lineage: Bacteria; Bacillati; Bacillota; Clostridia; Neomoorellales; Neomoorellaceae
Also listed under: 4 other names
Description: tRNA-Thr
Rfam family: tRNA
About the family: Transfer RNA (tRNA) molecules are approximately 80 nucleotides in length. Their secondary structure includes four short double-helical elements and three loops (D, anti-codon, and T loops).
Source: RNAcentral
GCUGAUGUGGCUCAGUGGUAGAGCAGCGCACUCGUAAUGCGCAGGUCGAGGGUUCGAAUCCCUCCAUCAGCUCCA